RNAcentral lists this transfer RNA (76 nucleotides) under Mesorhizobium sp. M2D.F.Ca.ET.171.01.1.1. Its description in RNAcentral is "tRNA-Ala". It matches the Rfam family "tRNA". From Rfam's summary of the family: Transfer RNA (tRNA) molecules are approximately 80 nucleotides in length. Their secondary structure includes four short double-helical elements and three loops (D, anti-codon, and T loops). Further hydrogen bonds mediate the characteristic L-shaped molecular structure. tRNAs have two regions of fundamental functional importance: the anti-codon, which is responsible for specific mRNA codon recognition, and the 3' end, to which the tRNAs corresponding amino acid is attached (by aminoacyl-tRNA synthetases). tRNAs cope with the degeneracy of the genetic code in two manners: having more than one tRNA (with a specific anti-codon) for a particular amino acid; and 'wobble' base-pairing, i.e. permitting non-standard base-pairing at the 3rd anti-codon position. The record is from RNAcentral. Lineage: Bacteria; Pseudomonadati; Pseudomonadota; Alphaproteobacteria; Hyphomicrobiales; Phyllobacteriaceae.
GGGGCCGUAGCUCAGCUGGGAGAGCGGCUGCUUUGCAAGCAGGAUGUCGUCGGUUCGAUCCCGUCCGGCUCUACCA